UCGGUUACUCUAUUUACAUAACUCAAGUUAAAUUUCCAAAAGAGGGCAGUUUCCCAGAUGAUAUCAAAGUAAGUAAAAGAAAAUGCCCGCAAAUGUCUUCCAUUUCAAAGGCCUACAUGGCUCAGUGAUGCCACAAUGACAUCAGAUUCCACUUGUCAGCACUCGAUUGGUUAAAUGCUGUUGAUUUCCGGCGUCAUGUGCUCAGAUUAGUUUAAAUGUCUCGGGAUUUUUGAUGUGCAGUAAUGAUUCACAUAUCUGUUUUUCAUUACUGAUUACUUGAGCGAAGUAACUGACUUGUUUGAUUUAGAGCAGAGAGGCUGUGUUGACUAAGUUUGCAUUAUUCAUCUGGAUCACAUUUUGCCAAUAUCAGAGUUAGACAUGCAAAAAAAUUCUCAUAAACAUGUCACUGUGAUGUGUGUCACCGCAGGGUUUGUGGGAUUGAGGGAUGAUCUCGACAAGAACCUCAACAUCUCUGUGUCAUGGCAACAGUAUUUCCAGGUAGUGAUAUGCUGUAACCGAAACGCGGACCGUUAAAGGUAAGCACUAGCCAAUGAGAUUACAGUUUUGCACAUUAGUCCCGCCCACUGGCAAGCUCUCAGAGUCUUUACCAGGCUUUAUACGAACAGCUACAGUAAUUCUUGUUCAUUCAUGUUCAUCCAUGGCAAGAGUAAAUGAAUAAACUAGCUAAUUUGAAUUACUUUUUUGCUUAUUUGUAGAUAUUUACUUAUUUCAGGAGGAUGUUUUUUAUCUGCUUUGAAGGAAAAAGGAAAAAUGAAUUAAAUGAAAGCAUGUACUAAGUAUGACUUUAAAAAGUGACUCAGAUUCUGUGAUAUUUGUUUUAUGACCCCUUAAUGGAUACCUAGAAGGUGUGGGCGAUUGCAGGAAUACUCCCCAGCUAUCUACCUCUGACCUUUAAGAAGGGUACAAAUUAAAGAUGAGAACAUUUAAGUAGGUGGGGGGCUUUUAUAGCUAUUCUCCACUGGAUUGUUUUUCAGGAUUGAGCAAAAGCAAACCGUUCAUCUCAGAAGAAAAGUCACGAUAUGGAAAUUGUGUCAUCCAGUAGUUGUGAUUAAACAUUCACUCUGUACAUUAGAACUAUACAAGAAGGUUGCAGUAUGACUCAAACACAAGCCACCUGGGGGCAGCCACUAUAAGUACAGAUCAAAACAGAUUUAGAUCACAUUUUUGGAAUGUGUGUGGGCUUCUAAACACAGAACUCCUUUUGUGGCACUUAUUACUAACACAUUUUUGCUCAAUAGAAAUUGACUAGAUCAUACCAGAACACAACAGUUUAUAUAGCUCAGCAUAUUGCUCAAACUCAAAAUAGCUUCAUGUGCUAUGUAAGGGAGGAGGGCUAUAAAUAUUUGAAAUGAUGCAUUACAAGAUGUUAAAAUGUUAGAAAACAAAACCUUUGAAGUCAGGCACUUACUUGAUUGAUCCUACAUCACGAUUCUAACAGAUGAUGCCAUCAGAGACACAUGGUCUGUAGAUGAAAGUGAUGAUUAUACUGAACAGAAAAGAAACUGAUCUGAGCAAUAUAGUUUACUGUACAUGUAAGAAAGGAGUCAUGCUUUAACCUUUGCUUGAUAUUUGCGGUCGCACGAAAAGAACACUGCAAACUGACGUAUUUACAGGUGACUUUGGGAUGUACUUAUGUACUUGACAAGCGUCGUGCUUGACAUACAUCUUAAUGCCGAAGGUAAAUAUAACUGAUCGACAGCCUCAGAAUUUCAGGGUCAUCUUAGUUUUGCAGAAUAAGUCAAAUGCAUCUGGUAUAAUUUUAUUUUGUUUCUUUAAAAUUACAUCAACUUAAUGUCAUCAAUGUAAAAUACUAAUGCUCAUGCAUUUGGACAAAUGCAGUUUGGUAUUUAGUUUGGUUUGAAAAAUAGAAUAAUAUAGAUAAUGAAAUAAAUACAUCUGAAUGACAUAAUAUAAAAAUUGUCUGUUUUUUUUAGUUGUAGGGAUCUCAUGAAUGAGUUUGGACAGUUCUAUUUUAGGUUAUGAUGACUAAUGAAGAUGUCUGAAAUGUACACCUAAUUCAUGGAAUUAGUAAACAGCAGCUCCAGACAAUUGAAAUGUGUUACGGUGUCCACCAUUUGCCUAGUAACAAAUAAAUAUAAAAAAUGUUAGCCUGAUAAAAACACAAAAUAGAUUCACAGUGCCUCAAAUACUGUAGAACUGAAUAAUAAUUUUUCCCAAAAGUGAAAUGUAACAAACUUUAUUCAACUGAAGCUUAUGUUUUUCACUAAUGCUUUCUAGUUUUGUGCGCACUACGAACAAGCUGGUCAGGAAACAGACUGUUGAUAUUAUAAUAAUAAUAAUAAUAAUAAUAAUGAAAGCACAUAUGAUAGGAAAACUGGCUUUUAUUGAAAUCUUUCACAGAGUUAGUUGUGAAUGUGGUGCACCAUGCAUACUGCACAAUGCAUACAAUGCGAGAUUAAGACACCAUUACAACGCCAGUCUCUAUGUGUGCGCAUGAGUAUGCUGGUCACAGAAACAAGACUCGUUGCCAUAUGUACCAAUACAAUAGCAGCGUCCUCAUGACAACUAUUCUGUACAUCUCAUAUUUACAUAGUUUUGUACCAACACACCUCGGGUAAAGACAGCUUCAGGAUGGUGAAAGUAGGGAGGGAGCUAAAAGAAGAUAUCCCAAGAGUCAUCUGACAUACAAUCACAAAUGAACUAUUGCUCUUGUCUUCAAGUUCAGACCAUAGCCUAUCAGGAUCAGACUCAUUCAUACACACCGUUUUAUAUGUUCUUUUACUGACUGACAUGAUGUUUUGUACUCUUUUGUCCAAUUCCAAUAAUCAUAAGAUUAAUAAUAGUAUUACCCUGCUCAGCACCCACACAGUCAAACAUGUGCACUUCUUCGUCACUGAACCAGUUGCUCAACUUGUUUUAGCCUGUGCUACACAAAUGGCAGUGAUUGAUUACUGUCCAGUACGGCUGUUGGACCCAUCAAGCAUUAUUGCUCAU
Molecule: long non-coding RNA, 2976 nt
Organism: Onychostoma macrolepis
Lineage: Eukaryota; Metazoa; Chordata; Actinopteri; Cypriniformes; Cyprinidae
Exons: 2
Source: RefSeq, a predicted model, not a curated record